Molecule: ribosomal RNA, 485 nt
Filed under: uncultured bacterium
Lineage: Bacteria
Description: partial 16S ribosomal RNA
Rfam family: Bacterial small subunit ribosomal RNA
Source: RNAcentral
GAUUGAACGCUGGCGGCAUGCUUUACACAUGCAAGUCGAACGGCAGCGCGGGCUUCGGCCUGGCGGCGAGUGGCGAACGGGUGAGUAAUGCAUCGGAACGUGCCCAGUAGUGGGGGAUAGCCCGGCGAAAGCCGGAUUAAUACCGCAUACGACCUGAGGGUGAAAGCGGGGGACCGAAAGGCCUCGCGCUAUUGGAGCGGCCGAUGUCGGAUUAGCUAGUUGGUGGGGUAAAGGCUUACCAAGGCGACGAUCCGUAGCUGGUCUGAGAGGACGACCAGCCUCACUGGGACUGAGACACGGCCCAGACUCCUACGGGAGGCAGCAGUGGGGAAUUUUGGACAAUGGGGGCAACCCUGAUCCAGCCAUGCCGCGUGCGGGAAGAAGGCCUUCGGGUUGUAAACCGCUUUUGUUCGGGAAGAAAUCCUCUGGGCUAAUACCCCGGGGGGAUGACGGUACCGGAAGAAUAAGCACCGGCUAACUACGUG